RNAcentral lists this unclassified non-coding RNA (18 nucleotides) under Mus musculus (house mouse). Its description in RNAcentral is "oocyte_clustered_small_RNA2428". The record is from RNAcentral. Lineage: Eukaryota; Metazoa; Chordata; Mammalia; Rodentia; Muridae.
UACUGAAAGAAAGGACAC